Molecule: ribosomal RNA, 399 nt
Filed under: Fisherola nuttalli
Lineage: Eukaryota; Metazoa; Mollusca; Gastropoda; Lymnaeidae
Description: partial 16S ribosomal RNA
Source: RNAcentral
UGCCCAGCGAAUUUUAUUUAGCGGCCGCAGUACCCUGACUGUGCUAAGGUAGCAUAAUCAAUUGGUUUUUAAUUGAAGCCUGGAAUGAACGGAAAAAUGGAGUCUAUCUGUCUCUUUUAUGAUUUAUUGAAAUUAGUUAUUAGGUGCAAAAACCUUUUUAUAGAAAAAAGACGAGAAGACCUUUAGAAUUUUAAUUAAAUAAAUUUUAAUUYUAURUUUUUGUUGGGGCGACAUUGAAACAUUUAAACUUUCAAURAGUACWCAUCAUUUAGAUYGUUAAGAAUAAAUUACCUAAGGGAUAACAGCAUAAUUUAUAUUUAAGUUUGUGACCUCGAUGUUGGACUAAGAKCUAUAUUAUUAACCAUUAAACUAGAUUGUUCUGUUCGAACAGAAAUCCCU